CCUACGGGAGGCAGCAGUGAGGAAUAUUGGUCAAUGGACGAGAGUCUGAACCAGCCAAGUAGCGUGAAGGAUGACUGCCCUAUGGGUUGUAAACUUCUUUUAUAAAGGAAUAAAACGAGGCACGUGUGCCUUUUUGCAUGUACUUUAUGAAUAAGGAUCGGCUAACUCCGUGCCAGCAGCCGCGGUAAUACGGAGGAUCCGAGCGUUAUCCGGAUUUAUUGGGUUUAAAGGGAGCGUAGACGGGUUGUUAAGUCAGUUGUGAAAGUUUGCGGCUCAACCGUAAAAUUGCAAUUGAUACUGGCAGUCUUGAGUACAGUUGAGGUAAGCGGAAUGCGUGGUGGAGCGGUGAAAUGCAAAGAUAUCACGCAGAACUCCGAUUGCGAAGGCAGCAUACCGGCGCCCAACUGACGCUGAAGCACGAAAGCGUGGGUAUCGAACAGGAUUAGAUACCCCUGGUAGUC
RNAcentral lists this ribosomal RNA (461 nucleotides) under uncultured bacterium. RNAcentral's name for it is "partial 16S ribosomal RNA". It matches the Rfam family "Bacterial small subunit ribosomal RNA", at positions 338 to 795 of the family's 1533-position model. The record is from RNAcentral.